UACACAUGCAAGUCGAGCGGUAGAGAGAAGCUUGCUUCUCUUGAGAGCGGCGGACGGGUGAGUAAUGCCUAGGAAUCUGCCUGGUAGUGGGGGAUAACGUUCGGAAACGGACGCUAAUACCGCAUACGUCCUACGGGAGAAAGCAGGGGACCUUCGGGCCUUGCGCUAUCAGAUGAGCCUAGGUCGGAUUAGCUAGUUGGUGAGGUAAUGGCUCACCAAGGCGACGAUCCGUAACUGGUCUGAGAGGAUGAUCAGUCACACUGGAACUGAGACACGGUCCAGACUCCUACGGGAGGCAGCAGUGGGGAAUAUUGGACAAUGGGCGAAAGCCUGAUCCAGCCAUGCCGCGUGUGUGAAGAAGGUCUUCGGAUUGUAAAGCACUUUAAGUUGGGAGGAAGGGUUGUAGAUUAAUACUCUGCAAUUUUGACGUUACCGACAGAAUAAGCACCGGCUAACUCUGUGCCAGCAGCCGCGGUAAUACAGAGGGUGCAAGCGUUAAUCGGAAUUACUGGGCGUAAAGCGCGCGUAGGUGGUUUGUUAAGUUGGAUGUGAAAUCCCCGGGCUCAACCUGGGAACUGCAUUCAAAACUGACUGACUAGAGUAUGGUAGAGGGUGGUGGAAUUUCCUGUGGAGCGGUGAGAUGCGUAGAUAUAAGAAUGAACACCAGUGGCGAAGGCG
Molecule: ribosomal RNA, 678 nt
Filed under: Pseudomonas lactis
Lineage: Bacteria; Pseudomonadati; Pseudomonadota; Gammaproteobacteria; Pseudomonadales; Pseudomonadaceae
Description: bacterial SSU rRNA
Rfam family: Bacterial small subunit ribosomal RNA
Source: RNAcentral